GACGAACCGUCCAAACGUUAUUCGGUAUCACUGGGCUUAAAGGGUGCGUAGGCGGUGCGGUAAGUGAGGUGUGAAAUCCCUCGGCUCAACCGAGGAAUUGCGCUUCAUACUGCCGUGCUGGAGGGAGACAGGGGUAAGCGGAACUGAUGGUGGAGCGGUGAAAUGCGUUGAUAUCAUCAGGAACACCGGUGGCGAAAGCGGCUUACUGGGUCUUCUCUGACGCUGAGGCACGAAAGCUAGGGUAGCGAACGGG
This 253-nucleotide ribosomal RNA is filed under the name uncultured bacterium. RNAcentral describes it as "partial 16S ribosomal RNA". It matches the Rfam family "Bacterial small subunit ribosomal RNA", at positions 524 to 776 of the family's 1533-position model. The record is from RNAcentral.